This is a long non-coding RNA of Chelonoidis abingdonii (Abingdon island giant tortoise), 759 nucleotides long. RefSeq lists it as uncharacterized. NCBI's taxonomy places the organism in Eukaryota, Metazoa, Chordata, Testudines, Testudinidae. The record is from RefSeq and is a predicted model, not a curated record.
AAGAAAAUAAUGAAAUAACCCUGAAAUCAGAACUCAUCAGAGUACAUUCUGUAGCUCAUGCAAUUUUGGAUUGAGACCCAAAGAUUUACAAUAGGAGAAGAGGCAAGCGGAGGAUGAAAGGAGAAAUGUGAACCAACUCUCAGAUAUGCUUUUACUUGGUUUUCAAUGUUUCAGAACAGCACAAUGAAGACGAUUGUUAUGCCAGCUAACAAAAAUGACAGGACAAAGAAGCAUACAUUGAAAUUAAAAUGAAAAUUCAGAACAGAUGUCAGGAAAUAUUUUUCAUGUUGAAUGUGCAGAUAUCCAACCAGAGCAACCAGACCACAACACUGGACCAUGUGGGUGGCCUCCUGCAGCUAUACAUAUGACACUACUGAAUGGGAAGGGUCUAUGAAAUUACUAACUGAUUUGCCCACUGCAUAACAUAGCUAGUCUUUCCCCGGAACCUGACAAACUGUGGUGGGACAUCUUUAAGGCUGCGAUUCUCAAAUUCAGAAGAGGAAAGUUUGAAAAUGGCCCAGCUAUUUUCAGAUAUGCAAGCAGCCAUAUCUUAAAAGUCUGCUCUUAUAAAGAGGGGCCAGUGCAUACUGUGUGCAUAUAUGUUUUAAACACACCAGUAAAUUUAAUGAAUUUAUAUAGUCUUCUUUACAGAGUGUUUCAUUUAUUUUUUGUACAGGUCAUUUGUGGAAUUAAGGAUGUAAAUAGAGAGGUGUCUGAUUCCAGUUUUCAGCACUCCAAUCUGUGCAAGCAUCCUUCAAA